Molecule: long non-coding RNA, 502 nt
Organism: Hypanus sabinus (Atlantic stingray)
Lineage: Eukaryota; Metazoa; Chordata; Chondrichthyes; Myliobatiformes; Dasyatidae
Exons: 3
Source: RefSeq, a predicted model, not a curated record
GUUGAAUCAUCGUUUAAUUCCUCAGAUACUCCGUUAUGCUGCGUAUUUGUCUCAUUGAUGCAGUUUCGUUUUAAAAGUGGAGUUUUAAUUUCUACUGUAAGGAAAAAUGUACAUAAGCUUGAAAGAGUACAGAGAAAAUUUACAAUGAUGUUGCCAGGUGUGGAGGACUUUAUUCAUUGGAAUACAGAAGACUGAAAGAUUUGAUAGAGAGCUGUGCCAUACAGCCGGGUGCUGGUGAAUGAGGUGUACUUGGAGGCAAUGGAUGUCUAGAAAAACAAAUAUUGAACAACGAACAUCCGAGACUUUUGGAAGUUAAAGCGCAGUCCAAUAACAACAAGGGAAUCCAAAAAGUCCUCCUUUUGCUACUAAGAAAUGAUGGUCAGCAUUACUCAGGCAACAUUUUCACCUUGUGUAAUAAAUGAGAGCAAAGAGAGAGGGAGUGGGAAGGCUGGGUAGAAAUGUAAUGGAAAACUGCUAGUACCUGUUGCAUGUGUCCAAUAAC